This 253-nucleotide ribosomal RNA is filed under the name uncultured bacterium. RNAcentral describes it as "partial 16S ribosomal RNA". It matches the Rfam family "Bacterial small subunit ribosomal RNA", at positions 524 to 776 of the family's 1533-position model. The record is from RNAcentral.
GACGUAGGGCGCGAGCGUUGUCCGGAUUUAUUGGGCGUAAAGAGCUCGUAGGCGGCUUGUCGCGUCGACUGUGAAAACCCGCGGCUCAACCGCGGGCCUGCAGCCGAUACGGGCAGGCUAGAGUUCGGUAGGGGAGCGUGGAAUUCCUGGUGUAGCGGUGAAAUGCGCAGAUAUCAGGAGGAACACCAGCGGCGAAGGCGGCGCUCUGGGCCGGAACUGACGCUGAGGAGCGAAAGCGUGGGUAGCAAACAGG